This 85-nucleotide transfer RNA is filed under the name Botrimarina hoheduenensis. It matches the Rfam family "tRNA". Rfam says of the family: Transfer RNA (tRNA) molecules are approximately 80 nucleotides in length. Their secondary structure includes four short double-helical elements and three loops (D, anti-codon, and T loops). Further hydrogen bonds mediate the characteristic L-shaped molecular structure. tRNAs have two regions of fundamental functional importance: the anti-codon, which is responsible for specific mRNA codon recognition, and the 3' end, to which the tRNAs corresponding amino acid is attached (by aminoacyl-tRNA synthetases). tRNAs cope with the degeneracy of the genetic code in two manners: having more than one tRNA (with a specific anti-codon) for a particular amino acid; and 'wobble' base-pairing, i.e. permitting non-standard base-pairing at the 3rd anti-codon position. The record is from Rfam by way of RNAcentral. Lineage: Bacteria; Pseudomonadati; Planctomycetota; Planctomycetia; Pirellulales; Lacipirellulaceae.
GGCCGAGUGGCGGAAUGGCAGACGCUGCGGACUUAAAAUCCGCUGGGGGGCAACCCCCGUGGGGGUUCGAAUCCCCCCUCGGCUA